Molecule: long non-coding RNA, 325 nt
Organism: Centropristis striata (black sea bass)
Lineage: Eukaryota; Metazoa; Chordata; Actinopteri; Perciformes; Serranidae
Exons: 3
Source: RefSeq, a predicted model, not a curated record
CGUUCAAGAACUGGAAGACAGAGGAACCUAAUGGUCCAAAUAAGAAUUGUGCAGUAGCAGAUUUCAGGUUCUCUGGAGGAUGGGUGGACAGGAACUGUGACUGGAAGUUUCCAUUCAUUUGCUACAGUCCAUCUCAGUGCUUCUCUGAUGAAAGUGAAGAAAGUGAAGAGAUUGAGGAUGACUGUGACUGUAUCUGCUGUGACUGAGGGAAUGCUGAAGCAGAAGCUGAAGGACCAAAGGCUGAAUGAUGACGUCAGACUGAGCUGGAGGAAGCAGGCAGAUGGAAAAGUCUUCCACAAGGAGAAAAAGAAGACGAGUAAUUUUC